Molecule: ribosomal RNA, 572 nt
Filed under: Fusarium solani
Lineage: Eukaryota; Fungi; Ascomycota; Sordariomycetes; Hypocreales; Nectriaceae
Description: eukaryotic LSU rRNA
Rfam family: 5.8S ribosomal RNA (bases 187-340)
Source: RNAcentral
GNNUNNCNNNNNGGUGAACCNGCGGAGGGAUCAUUACCGAGUUAUACAACUCAUCAACCCUGUGAACAUACCUAAAACGUUGCUUCGGCGGGAACAGACGGCCCUGUAACAACGGGCCGCCCCCGCCAGAGGACCCCUAACUCUGUUUUUAUAAUGUUUUUCUGAGUAAACAAGCAAAUAAAUUAAAACUUUCAACAACGGAUCUCUUGGCUCUGGCAUCGAUGAAGAACGCAGCGAAAUGCGAUAAGUAAUGUGAAUUGCAGAAUUCAGUGAAUCAUCGAAUCUUUGAACGCACAUUGCGCCCGCCAGUAUUCUGGCGGGCAUGCCUGUUCGAGCGUCAUUACAACCCUCAGGCCCCCGGGCCUGGCGUUGGGGAUCGGCGGAAGCCCCCUGUGGGCACACGCCGUCCCUCAAAUACAGUGGCGGUCCCGCCGCAGCUUCCAUUGCGUAGUAGCUAACACCUCGCAACUGGAGAGCGGCGCGGCCAUGCCGUAAAACACCCAACUUCUGAAUGUUGACCUCGAAUCAGGUAGGAAUACCCGCUGAACUUAAGCAUAUCAAUAAGCGGAGGA